CGGUCCAAAUCUCCGACUCGCAGCAUCCCACGCCAGUGGUCCCGCAGUCCACGCCACAGCUCUUCACGCCCACAGGACAGCUCUCCACACCAGCGCUCCAGCUCUUCUUAUGAGUUCUCCCAAAGACCAGCUAGGGGGAACCAGCACAGAGAGGGUGGAGAGCUAUUCCCAUUAGAUAAUGGAAAAUUCCAAAGGCGGGUCCUUUAUCUUCUUUCUGAUAUUCGGGCAAAGCUGUCAGAGGUGGGCCAAAACCGUGAGCCCCCAGAGUCUCAGUUCCACCUUGAGAAAAUGAACAGCAGGCGUGAGCUAAAAAAUCUGGAAGGGCAACUGGACGUUGAAAAAAAGAGGAAUGUGAUGGUGUCUCGCUUAGUCAGGAUUGGGGGUGCAGACCUUGAGGACUGUGUAAAAAAUAUGAUGAAAAGAGUUCUUACCAACAGAUUGAUGGCAACAAUGAACAUGGACAGCUCAGGGGUGAAGAAGGCCUUUGGAAAAACACUGCUAUGCCAUGUUAUAAUAGGUACUACAUUACUAUUUUUUAUGAUUAGAUGAUGUACUGUUGUAUCUAUCCAGUGUUACCCAUUGUGCGGCAAACUUUUAGCCAUCACAGAUGCACAGUGGCAAUACUGUAGGGGUGUAACAAUUAAUUGUGCAAUUAUUAUGCUCAGUUUCUCAAUAAAUUAUGGUCAAAUGCUGCCA
Long non-coding RNA from Cyprinus carpio (common carp), 696 nucleotides. The record is from Ensembl. NCBI's taxonomy places the organism in Eukaryota, Metazoa, Chordata, Actinopteri, Cypriniformes, Cyprinidae.